RNAcentral lists this ribosomal RNA (648 nucleotides) under uncultured Alphaproteobacteria bacterium. Its description in RNAcentral is "bacterial SSU rRNA". It matches the Rfam family "Bacterial small subunit ribosomal RNA", at positions 47 to 740 of the family's 1533-position model. Lineage: Bacteria; Pseudomonadati; Pseudomonadota; Alphaproteobacteria. The record is from RNAcentral.
CUUACCAGUGUCAGUCGGACGCGUGUAGCAAUACACGAGUGGCGCACGGGUGAGUAACGCGUGGAUAUCUGCCUUUUGGUUCGGAAUAACUCCGGGAAACUGGAGCUAAUACCGGAUGGUUCCUACGGGAUAAAGAUUUAUCGCCAAAAGAUGAGUCCGCGUACGAUUAGCUAGUUGGUGAGGUAAUGGCUCACCAAGGCGACGAUCGUUAGCUGGUCUGAGAGGACGAUCAGCCACACUGGGACUGAGACACGGCCCAGACUCCUACGGGAGGCAGCAGUGGGGAAUAUUGGACAAUGGGGGCAACCCUGAUCCAGCCAUGCCGCGUGAGUGAUGAAGGCCUUCGGGUUGUAAAGCUCUUUUGGCGGGGACGAUGAUGACGGUACCCGCAGAAUGAGCCCCGGCUAACUUCGUGCCAGCAGCCGCGGUAAGACGAAGGGGGCUAGCGUUGUUCGGAAUUACUGGGCGUAAAGCGAGUGUAGGUGGUCGUCCAAGUUGGAUGUGAAAGCCUUGAGCUCAACUCAAGAAAUGCAUUCAGGACUGGGCGACUAGAGGACCGGAGAGGAUAGUGGAAUUCCCAGUGUAGUGGUGAAAUACGUAGAUAUUGGGAAGAACACCAGUGGCGAAGGCGGCUAUCUGGACGGUUUC